Molecule: non-coding RNA, 1228 nt
Organism: Oryza sativa Japonica Group (Japanese rice)
Lineage: Eukaryota; Viridiplantae; Streptophyta; Magnoliopsida; Poales; Poaceae
Source: RefSeq, a predicted model, not a curated record
UUCAGCUUCAGGUGGGUGCGGCCAUGACACUGUCAGAAACGAGAUCGAGGCCCCCCUCACAGUCGCGGCCACCGCCGAUACCACGCGCUAGCUCGCCGCGCCGCCGCCUGCUUCCGACUCGCGUCCGCCAUCGCCAACCUAGAAGCUAGCUAGAGGCUUACGAGGUGUUCUCGUGAUCGAGGGCCGUUCGAUCGCACUGGAUUGGGAGGGAGGGGGACGGCGUCCUGCAGUUUUUCGACAGAAUGCGUGGCAAGGGAUCACACAGAACUCAGGGAGACGAUGCAAAUUCUGCGAGGCGGACAUCCAGCUGUGGAUACUCUCAAAACGAACGGCAAACUGAGGGCUGGCACAAAGGACAAAAGACACAUAUUGCUGGCAGCUAGCUGCUUCAGGAUGUGGUGCUGGUGGAUUUGCCAAGGCAGGGGGCGUGGAUAUCAGUGGUGGAAUUCGUCAUAUCCUUGCUUCUUGCGUAAUUAAGGUCGUCAAUACAGGUCGUAGAGAGAAGGUUGUUUGGUCUCUGGGAGAUAGUAGUAUCUGAGUAUUGCAGUUGCCGUCUUUGGUGAGGAUUAUUAGGAUUAGCCGUGAGUCCGGAGGUUUUGUUGUAGGUGACAAACCUGGAGCCUAGGAUUUUCAGUUGGAUGAGAACAUUCUAUAUCUUACGUGGGUUCUCAUUUGCAUGGAUUUUUUUUAUUGUUUGCUAACUUUUUAAAUUUUAAUUUUACAAAAAACUCUUCUGAAACCUAUUUUUAGUUCUAAUUCUAAAUCUUUUUGCCAGGCUAGUCUUGGUGGCAUGGCAAAAUAACGUUGCCACGCACACCCACGGCGGACAUGUCAGUGUUGUUUUACCAUGCCAACCUAGAUGGCGUGGUAAAACCUUUGCCACGCGGUGGUGUGGCCAUAUAAUGGUUCCAUGUCAAGGGAUUAGUGUGGCAAUAAUGUUUUGCUCGACAUUAGUGUAGUCAGAUGGUUUAGAAUUGAAAAUAAAAUUUGAGAGUAUAUUUACAAAAAUUUAAGUAGAAAAGGUUAAAAAAAAUAAAAAUAUCUUCGCGAAAUGAUGUACAACAAAUAUAUUUGUUGUUUCAAGUAAAAUGUACGGUCUAGGACAAAUUGCGGAGUGGCUGCGAUUUAGUACUACAGUAUGAGAAUAACUGUAGAUACACAACUUGGCUUGUGUUGCAAAACAAAUUACAAAGCAAAAUGUUAGGAUUUUUUUUACAAUCUAUUUACU